UCUCAUUGGUCAGCCGCAAGACUUGAUGCUUGCGCGAUAUCUAUAAAAGAUCAAUGUGGCAGUAUCAAGUUUCAGACUAGUAAUAGCCUCCUUCUACUUGUAACAGAAACUGGGAACUGGUGAACUAUGCCUGGACAUAUUAAGAAAACAUCUGGACCCGACCCAGAUCCAUCCCCAUGGCUUCUUGUCAAUGAUGAACUUAAGUUAAA
Molecule: long non-coding RNA, 209 nt
Organism: Eurytemora carolleeae
Lineage: Eukaryota; Metazoa; Arthropoda; Copepoda; Calanoida; Temoridae
Exons: 2
Source: RefSeq, a predicted model, not a curated record